This is a long non-coding RNA of Papaver somniferum (opium poppy), 996 nucleotides long. RefSeq lists it as uncharacterized. The record is from RefSeq and is a predicted model, not a curated record. The transcript has 5 exons. NCBI's taxonomy places the organism in Eukaryota, Viridiplantae, Streptophyta, Magnoliopsida, Ranunculales, Papaveraceae.
CUUCAAUACUUCAUUGUUCCAACCUUACAAGAGAAUCAUUCCCACCUUGUUAUCAAUUGCUUGCUUAUAAAAUCCUAAACCGUGUUAACCAACUUAACCCUAAAUACCAUUAAAAUCAAAUCAAAUAUGAACGAAUCUUUCGACUUUCCUCCUUUCUUUCCUCUUCUUCAACGACAACUUGGAUAAUGAGAAUAUCGUGUUACAAACCCUAGGAAGCAGAGAAGGAAAAGGAAAAGGAAAAUAAAAUAAGAGAGAAUAAGGUCAGUGAAAGUGGUGGUGGUGGUUAUUCUUCACUUCAUCAGAAAAAGAUGAAUAUUCUAAAAAUUGUAGAAAUGCUCUUCUCUGCUUUCCGAGGAAACGACUGAUGAUCCAAAAUUCGUUUUGAUAUGUGAAAUAUGGUCCAGACAAGUACCUUGAUGCUCCAAUCGCAGAGGUUUUUUUUGAUGUUUAUCACCACAAAAGCUCUUGUGGGUAACCACUCCAGCUAGUCAUUUAUCAGCUUGUUGAAUUUAUACAGAUUAUAUACUUGAGCUUAAACUAAGGAGUUGCUUACACAUUCAAGUACAGAUUCCAAUCUCUUAAUUUUUUAGGGUAUUUUUUGCUGGCUCAAUCUGCUGGGGUUGGAGUCAGCAGACGUUUUUUCGGCAAGCAACUAUUGUCUAAAACCUGUUGUAGAUUUUAUGACAUUUAACUUCUCAAUGUAGGUCAAUAUAAUUAUUGACAUGAUAUUUUGGAAGUUGAUCACAUCAUCAAUUCUGCUGCAAAAUCAAACCACAUGUUUGUUGGUCAGAUAAGUGUGCCAAUUGCUCUCAGAGGACUGAAAGGUGUUGUUGCUGGAGUUGGCGCCCAUCACUCACAGGUUUUGGUCGAAUCAGUGACACAGUGAGUGAGUUUGAAAAAUUGGUGGAUGAGAGACUAUAUUUCUGUGAACACAUCAAAACACCUGAGUAGACCAAUAUGCAAGUACACGAAUGUUACGUCAUCCAUCUGUUUUAC